This 448-nucleotide ribosomal RNA is filed under the name uncultured bacterium. Its description in RNAcentral is "bacterial SSU rRNA". It matches the Rfam family "Bacterial small subunit ribosomal RNA", at positions 29 to 521 of the family's 1533-position model. The record is from RNAcentral.
AGCGAACGCUGGCGGCAGGCUUAACACAUGCAAGUCGAGCGGGCGUAGCAAUACGUCAGCGGCAGACGGGUGAGUAACGCGUGGGAACAUACCUUUUGGUUCGGAACAACACAGGGAAACUUGUGCUAAUACCGGAUAAGCCCUUACGGGGAAAGAUUUAUCGCCGAAAGAUUGGCCCGCGUCUGAUUAGCUAGUUGGUGAGGUAACGGCUCACCAAGGCGACGAUCAGUAGCUGGCUGAGAGGAUGAUCAGCCACAUUGGGACUGAGACACGGCCCAAACUCCUACGGGAGGCAGCAGUGGGGAAUAUUGGACAAUGGGCGAAAGCCUGAUCCAGCCAUGCCGCGUGAGUGAUGAAGGCCCUAGGGUUGUAAAGCUCUUUUGUGCGGGAAGAUAAUGACGGUACCGCAAGAAUAAGCCCCGGCUAACUUCGUGCCAGCCGCCGCCGU